GACGAACGCUGGCGGCACGCCUAACACAUGCAAGUCGAACGGAGCUGAGAGAAGCUUGCUUUUCUUAGCUUAGUGGCGAACGGGUGAGUAACGCGUGAGUAACCUGCCCUGGAGUGGGGGACAACAGUUGGAAACGACUGCUAAUACCGCAUAAGCCCACGAUCCGGCAUCGGAUUGAGGGAAAAGGAUUUAUUCGCUUCAGGAUGGACUCGCGUCCAAUUAGCUAGUUGGUGAGGUAACGGCCCACCAAGGCGACGAUUGGUAGCCGGACUGAGAGGUUGAACGGCCACAUUGGGACUGAGACACGGCCCAGACUCCUACGGGAGGCAGCAGUGGGGGAUAUUGCACAAUGGGGGAAACCCUGAUGCAGCGACGCCGCGUGGAGGAAGAAGGUUUUCGGAUUGUAAACUCCUGUCGUUAGGGACGAUAAUGACGGUACCUAACAAGAAAGCACCGGCUAACUACGUG
RNAcentral lists this ribosomal RNA (468 nucleotides) under uncultured bacterium. RNAcentral describes it as "partial 16S ribosomal RNA". It matches the Rfam family "Bacterial small subunit ribosomal RNA", at positions 28 to 507 of the family's 1533-position model. The record is from RNAcentral.